Molecule: long non-coding RNA, 741 nt
Filed under: Malus domestica (apple)
Lineage: Eukaryota; Viridiplantae; Streptophyta; Magnoliopsida; Rosales; Rosaceae
Description: long non-coding RNA (MDOM_LNC001868)
Source: RNAcentral
UGGAGUAGGCGCAGCUAGAGUGUGCUCGGCUACUUCUGAGGCAUCGUUGGGCCGCUCUGUUGCGUCACCUAGGCUCGGCGUGAAGGCGCAGUAGGGAGCUGUGGAGAUGGGGCCAUGUCAUACGCAACAGGAGAUGCUCAACUGCCGGUAUUGGGCCACUCUAGAGUUGAAUCAUUGAGCAAGGGUCGGCUAGGGCCGUGUGAUGCGCAGCAAGAAAUGGUACUCAACUGCCGGUACAUGUUGCUCCUAUGUAGAAUCUUUUAGGGUGACGAGGACAAAACUUGCUUUCGAGUGUGUCCUUCCAGUGUUGCGUUUGUCAGAAAACUUUACAUCUGCCAGGGUCUACGCCUUUAUCGUCGCGCGUCUGGAUUGGGCAGAAUAGUACGUCAUUAAGAUGAUUGCAUGCGUUUGAAAGUAAAACUUGUGCUUCUGGGUUGCAACAACUAUCGCCAAAGUUAGCUUUUGAAUUUUUAAUAACAUCGAGGAGAGCUUUUGAACUGUAGAAUACAGGUAACUGUGGAAUACAGGUAGUCGGGCCCCCAUCUCUUCUCGCAUGAUGGUAGAGCUUAUUGCUACUUUAGAUACCGUCAAACAUGUGAAUAAGUCAUCCGCUGCUUCUAGGGAGGUGAUGUUGGGUACUUCUUCAAGUCCUUGAAUGUGCAUUGGCGAGCCUCAUCCCAAAGUGCAUACUUCUCUGCCAAAGCAAAAGAGUCUGCCAGAGUUAGAUCUUCUUUCAUGAUC